GACGAACGCUGGCGGCGUGCUUAACACAUGCAAGUCGAACGGAAAGGCCCUGCUUUUGUGGGGUGCUCGAGUGGCGAACGGGUGAGUAACACGUGAGUAACCUGCCCUUGACUUUGGGAUAACUUCAGGAAACUGGGGCUAAUACCGGAUAGGAGCUCCUGCUGCAUGGUGGGGGUUGGAAAGUUCCGGCGGUUGGGGAUGGACUCGCGGCUUAUCAGCUUGUUGGUGGGGUAGUGGCUUACCAAGGCUUUGACGGGUAGCCGGCCUGAGAGGGUGACCGGCCACAUUGGGACUGAGAUACGGCCCAGACUCCUACGGGAGGCAGCAGUGGGGAAUAUUGCACAAUGGGCGGAAGCCUGAUGCAGCAACGCCGCGUGCGGGAUGACGGCCUUCGGGUUGUAAACCGCUUUCGCCUGUGACGAAGCGUGAGUGACGGUAAUGGGUAAAGAAGCACCGGCUAACUACGUGCCAGCAGCCGCGGUGAUACGUAGGGUGCGAGCGUUGUCCGGAUUUAUUGGGCGUAAAGGGCUCGUAGGUGGUUGAUCGCGUCGGAAGUGUAAUCUUGGGGCUUAACCCUGAGCGUGCUUUCGAUACGGGUUGACUUGAGGAAGGUAGGGGAGAAUGGAAUUCCUGGUGGAGCGGUGGAAUGCGCAGAUAUCAGGAGGAACACCAGUGGCGAAGGCGGUUCUCUGGGCCUUUCCUGACGCUGAGGAGCGAAAGCGUGGGGAGCGAACAGGCUUAGAUACCCUGGUAGUCCACGCUGUAAACGGUGGGUACUAGGUGUGGGGUCCAUUCCACGGGUUCCGUGCCGUAGCUAACGCUUUAAGUACCCCGCCUGGGGAGUACGGCCGCAAGGCUAAAACUCAAAGGAAUUGACGGGGCCCCGCACAAGCGGCGGAGCAUGCGGAUUAAUUCGAUGCAACGCGUAGAACCUUACCUGGGUUUGACAUGGAUCGGGAGUGCUCAGAGAUGGGUGUGCCUCUUUUGGGGUCGGUUCACAGGUGGUGCAUGCCUGUCGUCAGCUCGUGUCGUGAGAUGUUGGGUUAAGUCCCGCAACGAGCGCAACCCUUGUUCACUGUUGCCAGCACGUUAUGGUGGGGACUCAGUGGAGACCGCCGGGGUCAACUCGGAGGAAGGUGGGGAUGACGUCAAGUCAUCAUGCCCCUUAUGUCCAGGGCUUCACGCAUGCUACAAUGGCUGGUACAGAGAGUGGCGAGCCUGUGAGGGUGAGCGAAUCUCGGAAAGCCGGUCUCAGUUCGGAUUGGGGUCUGCAACUCGACCUCAUGAAGUCGGAGUCGCUAGUAAUCGCAGAUCAGCAACGCUGCGGUGAAUACGUUCCCGGGGCU
This 1346-nucleotide ribosomal RNA is filed under the name uncultured bacterium. RNAcentral's name for it is "partial 16S ribosomal RNA". It matches the Rfam family "Bacterial small subunit ribosomal RNA", at positions 28 to 1381 of the family's 1533-position model. The record is from RNAcentral.